This 651-nucleotide ribosomal RNA is filed under the name Klebsiella huaxiensis. RNAcentral's name for it is "bacterial SSU rRNA". It matches the Rfam family "Bacterial small subunit ribosomal RNA", at positions 37 to 679 of the family's 1533-position model. Lineage: Bacteria; Pseudomonadati; Pseudomonadota; Gammaproteobacteria; Enterobacterales; Enterobacteriaceae. The record is from RNAcentral.
UGGCGGCAGGCCUAACACAUGCAAGUCGAACGGUAGCACAGAGAGCUUGCUCUCGGGUGACGAGUGGCGGACGGGUGAGUAAUGUCUGGGAAACUGCCUGAUGGAGGGGGAUAACUACUGGAAACGGUAGCUAAUACCGCAUAACGUCGCAAGACCAAAGUGGGGGACCUUCGGGCCUCAUGCCAUCAGAUGUGCCCAGAUGGGAUUAGCUUGUUGGUGAGGUAACGGCUCACCAAGGCGACGAUCCCUAGCUGGUCUGAGAGGAUGACCAGCCACACUGGAACUGAGACACGGUCCAGACUCCUACGGGAGGCAGCAGUGGGGAAUAUUGCACAAUGGGCGCAAGCCUGAUGCAGCCAUGCCGCGUGUAUGAAGAAGGCCUUCGGGUUGUAAAGUACUUUCAGCGAGGAGGAAGGGGGAAUGGUUAAUAACCAUUUUCAUUGACGUUACUCGCAGAAGAAGCACCGGCUAACUCCGUGCCAGCAGCCGCGGUAAUACGGAGGGUGCAAGCGUUAAUCGGAAUUACUGGGCGUAAAGCGCACGCAGGCGGUCUGUCAAGUCGGAUGUGAAAUCCCCGGGCUCAACCUGGGAACUGCAUUCGAAACUGGCAGGCUAGAGUCUUGUAGAGGGGGGUAGAAUUCCAGGUGUAGC